This is a non-coding RNA of Aedes aegypti (yellow fever mosquito), 73 nucleotides long. The record is from Rfam. Lineage: Eukaryota; Metazoa; Arthropoda; Insecta; Diptera; Culicidae.
CCUCACAUGGCAUAGGGGUAACGUGCCCUAAUUAGAAGUCAGGAAGUCGUGAGUUCGAUUCUCACUGAGAACA